RNAcentral lists this ribosomal RNA (301 nucleotides) under uncultured bacterium. Its description in RNAcentral is "partial 16S ribosomal RNA". It matches the Rfam family "Bacterial small subunit ribosomal RNA", at positions 509 to 807 of the family's 1533-position model. The record is from RNAcentral.
CAGCCGCCACGGGAAUACGUAGGGUGCGAGCGUUAAUCAGAAUUACUGGGCGUAAAGCGUGCGCAGGCGGUGAUGUAAGACAGAUGUGAAAUCCCCGGGCUCAACCUGGGAACUGCAUUAGUGACUGCAUCGCUGGAGUGCGGCAGAGGGGGGCGGAAUUCCGCGUGUAGCAGUGAAAUGCGUAGAUAUGCGGAGGAACACCGAUGGCGAAGGCAAUCCCCCGGGCCUGCACUGACGCUCAUGCACGAAAGCGUGGGGAGCAAACAGGAUUAGAUACCCCAGUAGUCCCUGUCUCUUAUAC